UCAAACGCGUUCGGGAUUCCUUUUAAACGUGUCGCAUGAUUCCGAGCGACAUAGCAGUCGUGGCAACGGCAUAACGCAUCAUAUAUCCACGCACGCAGUUAUUUUCAGGAUAAUUUAAUGUUUAUCAAUUUACGUUUCUUCGGAGGUACAAAGAAGAGACGGGAGGGGAAGUCGGCGUGCGAGGGAGAACGGCAUGGGCAGGGAGGAGACCGUCGGAAAAUAAAUUCGCUCGUGCAGACUGUCGGGCCACCCGGGGAAUAAAAGUUUUUAAAUUGGAUUUAAUAGCGUCAGGAAUUUUCCUUUGAAGGAACGUACUUGCCUAUUGAUCGAGUACACCUACCUCUGCUUCCCUUCUCUCCCCCAUGCCCAUCGCGUUACCCCUUAACUCGCCGUGUUUCUCUUACUCUAUCGUUUUCUGCUCUCGCUUCUCUUCUCUACACCCGUCCCUUUGGCUUGCGUGCCCCUCCAUGCCGCCCCCUUUCCCCGUGUGUACGCGUAUACACUGUGCCCGUCCGCUCCAUCCCACCCCAUCCCGUCCUAUUUCAACUACUCUUACCUCCUACUCCCCCUCGCCGCCCUCUACCCGACCCCUCGUUCCAUCUCCAGCGAAUCGAAUACGCGUCUAUCUAUCUUCUUCCUCCGCUGCUUCCAAACUUUUCUUUCUCUCUCCACCCCCGCGGUCCUUCCUUCUCCCCUCGAAACCCUUUCCCCAGGACUGGCUCCUCAUACUGUUCCACCUAUCCAGCCGUGCCAAGAUGCAGUCGUACCUUUCCUACUCCCAUGGUACGUUCGCGUUCCCAUUCGCCUGUUUCCUCGUUUCCCGCGAGCGAAUGAGAUCCGCAGACCCCGUGUACCCGGUAUAUAUGUAUACCCGCCGUCCUUUCUAGUCAUCGGACGCGCGCGCCGCCCCCCAACUGGAUCGCGAAACCUUUCUUUAUUCCUUAACCGAAUUUCCUGCUAUUCGCAGGAUGACUCGUACAGAUCGCUAAGAAGACGACGUAACCGAGCCUGUGUCGCGGUCUAUUCGUCCUCUAAGCGUUUUCCAUUCUUCGCACGGAACGACCAAACAACCGAACACGCCCUCGAAUCACGCAACCUCGAAACGAUCUUUGCGUCAAUCGUGGCUCGUUCGGAUACAUUCGGCCUACAGCCGAAGCACACCGAUAGGGAGGGGUACGGCGAGUGUCCCGCGUUCCACGAUCGUCUUACCGCUUACGAUUCUCAACCGUUCAUCCCAGUGGACCUCGACAGAUACAAACAUAAAACUGGAUGAAAAGCUCUGUUUGGUCACCAUGUAUCGAAAACAUCAACCCUACCAACCGAUUCUGCUCGACCGUUAAACAUUCCGACGACAGAGGCGCCAUCGACAUUAUUGUUCCUCUACGUAAGUUCGAUAAGAGCGAAGAAGCAAAGCUGUAGAAAAACAACAAUUUUGCCCUCGCAAAGCAGAGAUGAAAGAAAAGAAAAUUUUAAAGAGGUCGCUGGAACGUGAAUUUUCUGUACGGAAUAAUAAAACGCUGUUACAAAGAAAACGUUUUGACUCGCACGGUGACUCUGACCGUUGAUGUCUCGAGCACAAAAAUAGCCUUUCCCUUUCCCUCUCCCGGCGCCUUUGCUUGUCCAUGGACUUUGUCCAUGUGCACGAACAUUGGUUAAUUAAUCAUAGAACGGUUAGAUUCCAAGACUCGACUCGAAUGCUUCUAAUAGAAACAACCAUUUAUUGUACAAAAAAUUAUGCAACUACGAUACUGCUGAUACUGCUUCAGCGAUAACUAUUAAGUGUGGAAGAUCGUUGUACAACCUGUCGUACGUCGCGAU
Hylaeus volcanicus is the source of this 1818-nucleotide RNA transcript. RefSeq lists it as uncharacterized. Lineage: Eukaryota; Metazoa; Arthropoda; Insecta; Hymenoptera; Colletidae. The transcript is spliced from 2 exons. The record is from RefSeq and is a predicted model, not a curated record.